GAGGAAGUAAAAGUCGUAACAAGGUUUCCGUAGGUGAACCUGCGGAAGGAUCAUUACAGAAAGUAAACGCGGAUCAAACCGCGAACUUUUAAACCUUUGACGAUUGACUCAUGUUGCCUCGGCGGGUUCUCCCGCCAGAGGAUACAUCAAAACUCCUGUUUUAACGGUGUUGUCUGAGCUACAAGCAACGAAUCAAAACUUUCAACAACGGAUCUCUUGGUUCUGGCAUCGAUGAAGAACGCAGCGAAAUGCGAUAAGUAGUGUGAAUUGCAGAAUUCAGUGAAUCAUCGAAUCUUUGAACGCACAUUGCGCCCCUUGGUAUCCCGAGGGGCAUGCCUGUUCGAGCGUCAUUUCACCACUCAAGCCUGGCUUGGUGUUGGGCGACGUCCCCUUCAGGGACGCGCCUCGAAACGCUCGGCGGCGUGGCACCGGCUUUAAGCGUAGCAGAAUCUUUCGCUUUGAAAGUCGGGGCCCCGUCUGCCGGAAGACCUACUCGCAAGGUUGACCUCGGAUCAGGCAGGGAUACCCGCUGAACUUAAGCAUAUCAUUAAGCGGAGGAA
RNAcentral lists this ribosomal RNA (560 nucleotides) under uncultured Dothideomycetes. RNAcentral describes it as "eukaryotic LSU rRNA". The stretch from base 197 to 350 matches the Rfam family "5.8S ribosomal RNA". Lineage: Eukaryota; Fungi; Ascomycota; Dothideomycetes. The record is from RNAcentral.